Molecule: long non-coding RNA, 2159 nt
Filed under: Salmo salar (Atlantic salmon)
Lineage: Eukaryota; Metazoa; Chordata; Actinopteri; Salmoniformes; Salmonidae
Description: lncRNA (ENSSSAG00000092862.1)
Source: RNAcentral
GUACUGUGUUGUGGUGUGGUGGCCUUACAGAGGGUUAGAUGCUGCAGUCUGUACUGUGUUGUGGUGUGGUGGCCUUACAGAGGGUUAGAUGGUGCAGUCUGUACUGUGUUGUGGUGUGGUGGCCUUACAGAGGGUUAGAUGGUGUUGUCUGGGGUUGGUAGAUAAGGUGACAUUAGCUUGGAGUCUGUGGACUGUAGUGUUAUUGUUCUAAGAUUGUAGAGUGGUGUGGAUGGAUGGAUGGAUGGAUGGAUGGAUGGAUAGGUGGUGGGAGUAGAUUAUGAGAAGGAUUCCACAGGUUGUUCUGGUAGAUAAGAUGUAUCAGUCACUGUCUGACAGUGUAUAGGAUGUUUGCUGUAGUGUUGUUAGUGGAGGUUAGGACUAGUAACAGGGAUGUGGAGGUUAGGACUAGUAACAGGGAUGUGGAGGUUAGGACUAGUAACAGGGAUGUGGAGGUUAGGACUAGUAACAGGGAUGUGGAGGUUAGGACUAGUAACAGGGAUGUGGAGGUUAGGACUAGUAACAGGGAUGUGGAGGUUAGGACUAGUAACAGGGAUGUGGAGGUUAGGACUAGUAACAGGGAUGUGGAGGUUAGGACUAGUAACAGGGAUGUUGUGGAGGUUAGGACUAGUAACAGGGAUGUUGUGGAGGUUAGGACUAGUAACAGGGAUGUUGUGGAGGUUAGGACUAGUAACAGGGAUGUUGUAGUGUUUGUGGAGGUUAGGACUAGUAACAGGGUUAAUGAGCCAUGGUGGUGUUGAUGUUGUCUCUAUGGAAGUGCUGCCCUGGAAGUGCAAGGUAGUCAUCCAGUGUUGUAGACCCAGCCGUGCAUUUCUCUCUCUGUCUGUGUCUCUCUCUCGUUCUUUGUCGCUCUCUCUCGCUCGCUCAAUCACUACUCCUCCUCUCUCUCUCCCCUUCAUCUCUCUCUUCAUCUGUCUCUCGGUCUUUCCCUCCAUCUCUCUCUCUGUGUUAGUGAUUACAUCACUCACUCACUCUCUCUCUCUCUCUCUCUCUCUCUGUCUCUCUCUCUCUCUCUCACCCUCUCUGUCUCUCUCUCUCUUGCAUAACCGCCAGCUUUGUUUGCUCCAGCUGAGGACUAAUCUUUCCCGCGAGACAGACUGAAGGAACAAGGGAGAGGAGGAGAGCAGGACAAGCCAACCUUUAUAACCUGACUGGACGCUCUGCCUCGUUAAUUCAAUCAGUCCACCAAUUAAUGGGCUUUAGAGCAGAGCCCUGUUUACAACCACCGUGACCUGUGUGUUUAUGGAGCGGUGUUUUUAAUCUGUGUGUGUGUGUGUGUGUGUGUGUGUGUGUGUGUGUGUGUGGAGAGCAGGCGCAUGGUACUCCCCAUGGUAGCCCAGUCGUACUGAAGGAUAAACAGUGAUUAUCUGGGCUGCCUGGAGAGAGACACAUGCUUAUGUACCACUCUCAGACAGACCACACAUACAUGUGAGGGACACGGUAGCCAAGACAACGCUCUAGCUGCAGUCAGAGGAGAAUAACACAUAAACAAAGACACGCAGAAUCACGUUCAGUCAAGUGUGACUUGUCCUGCCUUUCAUACACGCGUCCACACAGAUACACACACACACAAUGCCGCUGGCGGCGUCUGUGAGGUGAGUGCGAGGCGAAUGUUACGUAAGAAAGAUCAAAGCUACUUAAUCAGCUUUGAGAGAGAUGGGGGAGGAAUGGACAGAGGAGGGAUAGCGGGAAAAUAAAGAAUGGGGAGAGAGAGGGAUAGCAGAGAACAGAGGGUAGAGAAAGUGGUGACAGGCGGUGACACUGCGCGUGUCCUCGUUCCCUGUUUACGAUGGGAUAAUCUCACACACACACACACACAAACACACAAGCUGUGCUCUGUCCUCCGUGUCCCCCUCACAGCCCACUGUGACAUGCUGUUGCCAAUGCCACGAUAGCGUGUGUGUGUGUGGUGUGUGUGUGUGUGUGUGUGUGUGUGUGGUGUCUGUCUCUUCUUUUCCUAUAUGCCUAUUCCAUAUCUCUUUCUCUCCCCCUCCCUCUCUUUGUAAACCCUUUCUUUGCUUACCCUUUACCUCCUCCCUCUCUUCUCUCUCGCCCACUACGUCUCUCUUACAGGAAUUGUUAGCAGAUGUGGACAGAGCUUUUUCCUUCAUCUAAAAUUAGCCCCAAUAGAAGAAUGGCAG